This 4477-nucleotide long non-coding RNA is filed under the name Homo sapiens (human). Its description in RNAcentral is "HSALNT0056972". The record is from RNAcentral. Lineage: Eukaryota; Metazoa; Chordata; Mammalia; Primates; Hominidae.
UAGGUAAUCACAGCUCUAGCACUUUUCCCCUUAGUAUUGCUGGGACCACUUGACUGUACUUAGAGACUCAGCUCCAUCCAAAGGUCUGAGCUUGGCUAAUGUCCUAAUUCUCACCCUCUUACACAUCUGGGCUCAGCUUCAUGCUCUGCCCUAGUUUUGAUUGUAUUGCUUAGCUCCACAAAAUUUACUUUAUUUUCUACUCACUUGAUUGUGUCUGAGUCUUCAAGUAAAACAAAAUGAAUUAGAUAAGAAAUGCCAAACAAAGUCUUUUCCUUUUGACUCCCUGUUGUUUUUUCAGAUCUUGGUCAUCUUAAUCACGAACCAGCCUCAAGUUACCUGCACCAGCAUAAGAGGAAAAACAAAUUAUUUAUUUGCAGUGUCAAAUCAGUACCAGGGUCACUGUGAGUUGGCUGGAGAUAAGCCUAAGUGAAGUAUGGAUCUGCCACUGCCACACCUAUUUCCUGCAUGAGAAGAGAGAGGUAGCCCAUGGCCCACGUCUCUAGCCCAGAUAAGCCGCUGGGUGUGGGAUCCGCAUUGUUCUCACUCUGCAGACCCAAGAAGGCUCACUCCCUCAUUCUGACUGGAAGAGCAAGUUAGGACACUCAGUGAAGUCACAUGCAGUUUGUCUUUUAGUUUGCAAAGCUGCUUCUGACUGUAAAACUGGCUGCUUGGGCAAAACCAUACCUCUCCAGCCAAUCUCCUUCUGCUCUGGUCUACAUCAGGAGAGUCCAAUUCCAGCGCUUAUGGCUAGAAAACACACCACACUUGCCUGUCAGUUCUGGCUGUGGGCCCUCUUCCCCAGCAGACCCAGCACUCUAAAUUCCAUCUUGAAACUCUGUAAUCCCCUUGGCUGUUGUAGCUGCUAGCUUGCAGGGACCCUCCCAGCUUGUUAUGAGCUAGAAUUGAGAAUGGCGUCCUCCAACUGGGUCCCAAGUCUGGAUCAGUGCUUGAAGCACUUCCCAGUGACAUUCCUUCUUACAGUCUCCCAGCCUCUCCCCAGGUUAGGUCCAGGGCUUGGGAGGGACAGGGUGCUCACCAGUGGCUUGGUUGGAGAGUUUCCCAAGGGAAAGGUGGAUCAUUGAACGACACUCUCCGCUUCUCUCCCACAUUGGGGUUUCACUCACAGACUUCAGCCUGGCCCCUCAAUGCAGACUGCAUGACCACCCUCUCUUCCCUAUUAUCUGACAUAUUAUCUUGCUUUCUGUUAAAUUCUCAGGGUCCUUAUUGAAUGAAAGUCCACAACUGAAUCUCUGCACACUAUUUUGCUUCUUCCAAGUGGCUGAAGUAUAUUGGAAAAGUCUCUAAAAUAAUAAGACUUAACAGGAAAUGUUUCUGUCAGUAACAAUUAUAUAGCUUCGCAUCAGUAGUAUCUUUCUCACAAUUUAUUUAUCAUAAUUUCCAAAAUGCUAAUCAACUAAAUGAUUUACUUUCUUCCUGGAAAUAUAGAAAUAGAACACUUAUUUUUAUUUUGAAUACUUAUUACUUUUUAAUAAAACUUAAUUACAUGUUUAUAUAAUUUAUUCUUUUAUUCCUUCAAAUAGAUUUUGUUUUUUACAGUGGUGUUAAAUUCACAGAAAGAUUAAGCAGAAAAUACAGAAAAAUUUCGUAUACUCCCUCUCCCCACAUAUGCACAGCUUCCACACUGUAAACUUGAAGCCCCCAGUGGUACAUUUAUUACAAUUAUGAAUCUAUAUUGACCCAUCAUGAUUCAAAAUCCAGCUUACAUUAGUUGUUUCAUUUUGUUUUUGUAUAUUCCAUGGGUUUUGGAAAAUGUAUAAUGACAUAUAUCCACCAUUAUAGUAUCCUACAGAAUAGUUUCACUGCCCUAAAAAUCCUCUGUGCGGCCGGGCAUGGUGGCUCACGCCUGUAAUCCCAGCACUUUGGGAGGCCAAGGAGGGAGGAUCACAAGGUCAGGAGAUCAAAACCAUCCUGGUUAAAACGGCGAAACCCCGUCUCUACUAAAAAUACAAAAAAUUAGCCGGGUUUGGUCGUGGGCGCCUGUGGUCCCAGCUACGUGGGAGGCUGAGGCGGGAGAAUGGCGUGAACCCAGGAGGCGGAUCUUGCAGUGAGCCGAGAUCACGCCACUGCACUCCAGCCUGGGCAACAGAGUGAGACUCCGACUCAAAAAAAAAAAAAAAAAAAUCCUCUGUGCUCUGCCUUUUCUUCUCUUCCUCCAUCCCCUCUAUACCUGGCCAACCACUAAUAUUUUUACUUUUCCAGAAUUUUGCCUUUUCCAGAAUGUCACAUAGUUGAAGUCAUACACCAUGUAGAUUUUUCACGCUGGCUUCUUUGAAUGUCAUAUAGUUGUAAUCAUACACUACAUAGACUUUUCACACUGGCUUCUUGGACUUAGCAAUAUACAUUUAAGUUUCCUCUGUGUCUUUUCAUGGCUUGAUAGUUUAUUGUUUUUGGUGUUGAAUAAUAUUCCAUCCUCUAGAUGUAUCACAGUUUGUUUAUCCAUUCACCUACUGAAGGAUAUCUUGGUUGCUUCCAGGUUUUGGCAAUUAUGAAGAAAGCUGCUAUAAAUAUCUAUGUGCAGAUUUUAGUGAGAAUUUAAGUUUGCAGCCUAUUUAGGGGAACAUCAGGAAGUAUCAUUGUUGGGUGAUAUGGAAAGUGUUAUGCUUAGUUUUGUAUGAAACUGCGAAAUUUUCUUUCAAAGUGGCUGUACCACUUUAUAUUCCCACCAGCGAUGAGAGUUCCUGUUGCUCCACCAUCCUGGUCAGCAUUUGGUUUUGUCAGUGUUCUGGAUUUUGGCCAUUCUAAUGAGUAUAUAGUGGUAUAAUAUUGUAGUUUUAAUUUUCAUUUCCCUAAUGACAUGUGAUAUGAAGCAUCUUUUCAUAUGCUUGUCGGCCAUCUGUAUAUAUAUCUUCUUUGGUAAGGUGUCUUAAAAUCUUUGGCCCUUUUGAUUUUUUUAAUUUGUUUUGUUUGUUUGUUUGUUUUAUGGACAGGGUCUUGCCAUAUUUUCUAGGCUGGCCUCAAACUCCUGGGCUCAAGCAACUUCUAAAUCUCAUUCUCUCAAGUAGCUGGGACUACAGGUAUGUGCUCCUGCACCUGGUUCCAGCCCAUUUUCUAUUGGAAUUUUUAAUUUGUUAUUGAUGGAUUUUAAGAGUUCUUUGUAUAUCUUGAAUAGAAGUCCUUUAUUGGCUGUGGUUUUGCAAAUGUUUUUUCCAGUUUGCAGCUUGUCUUAUUUUCUUGACAGUGUCUUUUUUAACAUAGAAGUUUUUAAUAUUAAUGAAGUCUAUCUCAUCAAUUUUUUCUUUCAUAGGUUGUGCCUUUGGUGUUGUAACUAAAAAGUCAUCCCCAUCACCAAAGUCAUCUAGGUUUCCUGCUAUAUUAUCUUCUAAGAGUUUUAAAGUUUUGUACUUUACAUGUAGGUUUAUGAUCCAUUUUGAAGAAUGCUAUGGAUGGAAUGCUUGUGUACCCCAAAAUCAUAUUGAAACAUAAAUCUCCAAUGUAAUGGAAUUUGAAGAUAUGUACUUUGGGAAAUGAUUGCCUCAUGAGGAUGAAGCCCUUAUGAUGGGAUUAGUGCCCUUAUAAGAAGGGAGUCUCUCUCUCUCUCUCUCUCUCUCUCCUCUCUCUCUCUCCACCAUGUGAGUAUACAGUAAGUUCAUAUUAUGGCAAUGAACUUUAGCUUUCUUUUGAGAUAUAACAAAAAAUUAGUAAAUUUUGGCACCUGUUUACUCAAGAAGUUGUGUUCAGCAGUAAUUAUUUAAUGAAAAAAUCAAUUCAGCAAAGUGCAUUUUAUAGCAUAUAUAAUAUUUUAGAUGAUCUAAUUGUGAGUCCAUCCACUCCUCAUAAAGCUAUUAUCACUCUCCCUAAAAUUUCUGCAUCCAAGGGAUUCAUAAUAUCUAUAAACAAUCAGAGGAAUAAGUAAAGACAGUGCAGCACUGUCAAUUUAGAUCUAAAAAGCCAUUUCCUAUGGAAAAAAACUAUAAUCUCUAUCAAAUGAUUAGUUUGCAAACCAUUUCAUACUACUUGAGAAAGAAAUCUUUAGGAUUGUUGGCUAUAACUAUUUUGAAAACUCUAAAACUUCUUUGAAAAUUUUCUCAGCAGGAAACAAAUUUAUCCUUCCCAUCUUUGAAACUGAAAAUUCCAAAGUGUAAAUAUCCUAUGUCUUUUGUAAAAGAAAUUAUUAAAUGUCCAAGUGAAAGCAAUUCAAAUCUCCAAGAUAAUUCCAUUUCUUCCUUCUUCAUUGUCAUUUUGCCUGUCAAUUACUUUAUUUACAUGAAGCAUUGUUUAAAACUUAUUGUCAUGAGAGAAAGCAUUUCUAAAAAGCAACAGAAAAUUAGGAGGUACAUAGACUGGUAAAAGUGACUUGCUUUUGGGAGGGAGACCGAGUGUCUGGAGUCUUCUGAUUUUUAAUUUAAAAAUCUAUGAAUCUCUUUAAUAAUCUUACACAAUACCUUUUGUGAUUAGUUAUCAAUUUCUGCCUUGUCCCAAUAUAUAAUUUUUGUGAAAUGUUACUAAUAUGACCAUG